RNAcentral lists this transfer RNA (69 nucleotides) under Stenocephus fraxini. RNAcentral describes it as "tRNA-Leu". Lineage: Eukaryota; Metazoa; Arthropoda; Insecta; Hymenoptera; Cephidae. The record is from RNAcentral.
AUUGUUUUGGCAGAUUUAGUGCAUUAAAUUUAGAAUUUAAUUAAGAAAUUAGUUUAAUUUCAUACAAUA